Molecule: ribosomal RNA, 350 nt
Filed under: uncultured bacterium
Lineage: Bacteria
Description: bacterial SSU rRNA
Rfam family: Bacterial small subunit ribosomal RNA
Source: RNAcentral
GAUGAACGCUGGCGGCGUGCCUAACACAUGCAAGUCGAACGGAGCUGCUUUGAUGAGAUCUUCGGAUGGAUUUAAAACAGCUUAGUGGCGGACGGGUGAGUAACGCGUGGGUAACCUGCCUCACACUGGGGGAUAACAGUUAGAAAUAGCUGCUAAUACCGCAUAAGCGCACAGUUCCGCAUGGAACAGUGUGAAAAACUCCGGUGGUGUGAGAUGGACCCGCGUCUGAUUAGCCAGUUGGCGGGGUAACGGCCCACCAAAGCGACGAUCAGUAGCCGGCCUGAGAGGGUGAACGGCCACAUUGGGAACUGAGACACGGCCCAAACUCCUACGGGAGGCAGCAGUGGGAA